UUAAGCGACUAAGCGUACACGGUGGAUGCCCUGGCAGUCAGAGGCGAUGAAGGACGUGCUAAUCUGCGAUAAGCGUCGGUAAGGUGAUAUGAACCGUUAUAACCGGCGAUUUCCGAAUGGGGAAACCCAGUGUGUUUCGACACACUAUCAUUAACUGAAUCCAUAGGUUAAUGAGGCGAACCGGGGGAACUGAAACAUCUAAGUACCCCGAGGAAAAGAAAUCAACCGAGAUUCCCCCAGUAGCGGCGAGCGAACGGGGAGCAGCCCAGAGCCUGAAUCAGUGUGUGUGUUAGUGGAAGCGUCUGGAAAGGCGCGCGAUACAGGGUGACAGCCCCGUACACAAAAAUGCACAUGCUGUGAGCUCGAUGAGUAGGGCGGGACACGUGGUAUCCUGUCUGAAUAUGGGGGGACCAUCCUCCAAGGCUAAAUACUCCUGACUGACCGAUAGUGAACCAGUACCGUGAGGGAAAGGCGAAAAGAACCCCGGCGAGGGGAGUGAAAAAGAACCUGAAACCGUGUACGUACAAGCAGUGGGAGCACGCUUAGGCGUGUGACUGCGUACCUUUUGUAUAAUGGGUCAGCGACUUAUAUUCUGUAGCAAGGUUAACCGAAUAGGGGAGCCGAAGGGAAACCGAGUCUUAACUGGGCGUUAAGUUGCAGGGUAUAGACCCGAAACCCGGUGAUCUAGCCAUGGGCAGGUUGAAGGUUGGGUAACACUAACUGGAGGACCGAACCGACUAAUGUUGAAAAAUUAGCGGAUGACUUGUGGCUGGGGGUGAAAGGCCAAUCAAACCGGGAGAUAGCUGGUUCUCCCCGAAAGCUAUUUAGGUAGCGCCUCGUGAAUUCAUCUCCGGGGGUAGAGCACUGUUUCGGCAAGGGGGUCAUCCCGACUUACCAACCCGAUGCAAACUGCGAAUACCGGAGAAUGUUAUCACGGGAGACACACGGCGGGUGCUAACGUCCGUCGUGAAGAGGGAAACAACCCAGACCGCCAGCUAAGGUCCCAAAGUCAUGGUUAAGUGGGAAACGAUGUGGGAAGGCCCAGACAGCCAGGAUGUUGGCUUAGAAGCAGCCAUCAUUUAAAGAAAGCGUAAUAGCUCACUGGUCGAGUCGGCCUGCGCGGAAGAUGUAACGGGGCUAAACCAUGCACCGAAGCUGCGGCAGCGACGCUUAUGCGUUGUUGGGUAGGGGAGCGUUCUGUAAGCCUGUGAAGGUGUGCUGUGAGGCAUGCUGGAGGUAUCAGAAGUGCGAAUGCUGACAUAAGUAACGAUAAAGCGGGUGAAAAGCCCGCUCGCCGGAAGACCAAGGGUUCCUGUCCAACGUUAAUCGGGGCAGGGUGAGUCGACCCCUAAGGCGAGGCCGAAAGGCGUAGUCGAUGGGAAACAGGUUAAUAUUCCUGUACUUGGUGUUACUGCGAAGGGGGGACGGAGAAGGCUAUGUUGGCCGGGCGACGGUUGUCCCGGUUUAAGCGUGUAGGCUGGUUUUCCAGGCAAAUCCGGAAAAUCAAGGCUGAGGCGUGAUGACGAGGCACUACGGUGCUGAAGCAACAAAUGCCCUGCUUCCAGGAAAAGCCUCUAAGCAUCAGGUAACAUCAAAUCGUACCCCAAACCGACACAGGUGGUCAGGUAGAGAAUACCAAGGCGCUUGAGAGAACUCGGGUGAAGGAACUAGGCAAAAUGGUGCCGUAACUUCGGGAGAAGGCACGCUGAUAUGUAGGUGAAGUCCCUUGCGGAUGGAGCUGAAAUCAGUCGAAGAUACCAGCUGGCUGCAACUGUUUAUUAAAAACACAGCACUGUGCAAACACGAAAGUGGACGUAUACGGUGUGACGCCUGCCCGGUGCCGGAAGGUUAAUUGAUGGGGUCAGCGCAAGCGAAGCUCUUGAUCGAAGCCCCGGUAAACGGCGGCCGUAACUAUAACGGUCCUAAGGUAGCGAAAUUCCUUGUCGGGUAAGUUCCGACCUGCACGAAUGGCGUAAUGAUGGCCAGGCUGUCUCCACCCGAGACUCAGUGAAAUUGAACUCGCUGUGAAGAUGCAGUGUACCCGCGGCAAGACGGAAAGACCCCGUGAACCUUUACUAUAGCUUGACACUGAACAUUGAGCCUUGAUGUGUAGGAUAGGUGGGAGGCUUUGAAGUGUGGACGCCAGUCUGCAUGGAGCCGACCUUGAAAUACCACCCUUUAAUGUUUGAUGUUCUAACGUUGACCCGUAAUCCGGGUUGCGGACAGUGUCUGGUGGGUAGUUUGACUGGGGCGGUCUCCUCCUAAAGAGUAACGGAGGAGCACGAAGGUUGGCUAAUCCUGGUCGGACAUCAGGAGGUUAGUGCAAUGGCAUAAGCCAGCUUGACUGCGAGCGUGACGGUGCGAGCAGGUGCGAAAGCAGGUCAUAGUGAUCCGGUGGUUCUGAAUGGAAGGGCCAUCGCUCAACGGAUAAAAGGUACUCCGGGGAUAACAGGCUGAUACCGCCCAAGAGUUCAUAUCGACGGCGGUGUUUGGCACCUCGAUGUCGGCUCAUCACAUCCUGGGGCUGAAGUAGGUCCCAAGGGUAUGGCUGUUCGCCAUUUAAAGUGGUACGCGAGCUGGGUUUAGAACGUCGUGAGACAGUUCGGUCCCUAUCUGCCGUGGGCGCUGGAGAACUGAGGGGGGCUGCUCCUAGUACGAGAGGACCGGAGUGGACGCAUCACUGGUGUUCGGGUUGUCAUGCCAAUGGCACUGCCCGGUAGCUAAAUGCGGAAGAGAUAAGUGCUGAAAGCAUCUAAGCACGAAACUUGCCCCGAGAUGAGUUCUCCCUGACCCUUUAAGGGUCCUGAAGGAACGUUGAAGACGACGACGUUGAUAGGCCGGGUGUGUAAGCGCAGCGAUGCGUUGAGCUAACCGGUACUAAUGAACCGUGAGGCUUAACCUU
RNAcentral lists this ribosomal RNA (2902 nucleotides) under Escherichia coli. Its description in RNAcentral is "23S ribosomal RNA". It matches the Rfam family "Bacterial large subunit ribosomal RNA". The record is from RNAcentral. Lineage: Bacteria; Pseudomonadati; Pseudomonadota; Gammaproteobacteria; Enterobacterales; Enterobacteriaceae.